UAAAGUCUAAUCUGCCCACUGAUAUAAUAUUAAAGGGCUGCAGUAUUUUGACUGUACAAAGGUAGCAUAAUCAUUAGUCUUUUAAUUGAAGACUUGUAUGAAUGAUUGGAUGAAAUAUAAACUGUCUCUAAUAUUAUUAGUUAGAAUUUAAUUUUUUUAUUAAAAAGUAAAAAUAAAUUUAAAAGACGAGAAGACCCUAUAGAGUUUUAUAAUUAAUUUAAUUGAAAUUAUUUAUAAAGAUAAUUUUAAAUUAAUAAAUUAAAAUUAAGUUAAUUAUUUUGUUGGGGUGAUAAAAAAAUAAAAAUAACUUUUUUUAAUAAAUAUAUAUAUAUAUAUAUAUUGUAAACAAAAAUAAAUGAUUUUUUGAUCCAGAAUUUUUGAUUAUAAGAAAAAAUUACCUUAGGGAUAACAGCGUAAUUUUUUUUUUUAGUUCAAAUAAGAAAAAGAGUUUGCGACCUCGAUGUUGGAUUAAGGAAAAAUUUAAAUGCAAAAGUUUAAAAUUUUG
This 505-nucleotide ribosomal RNA is filed under the name Cryptoses choloepi. RNAcentral's name for it is "partial 16S ribosomal RNA". The record is from RNAcentral. Lineage: Eukaryota; Metazoa; Arthropoda; Insecta; Lepidoptera; Pyralidae.